UACGGGGGGGGCAAGCGUUGUUCGGAAUUACUGGGCGUAAAGGGCUCGUAGGUGGCCAACUAAGUCAGACGUGAAAUCCCUCAGCUUAACUGGGGAACUGCGUCUGAUACUGGAUGGCUUGAGUUUGGGAGAGGGAUGCGGAAUUCCAGGUGUAGCGGUGAAAUGCGUAGAUAUCUGGAGGAACACCGGUGGCGAAGGCGGCAGCCUGGACCAACACUGACACUGAGGAGCGAAAGCCAGGGGAGCAAACGGG
Molecule: ribosomal RNA, 253 nt
Filed under: uncultured bacterium
Lineage: Bacteria
Description: partial 16S ribosomal RNA
Rfam family: Bacterial small subunit ribosomal RNA
Source: RNAcentral